GUGAAGCUUUCCCCUGCAAGCCUGGAAUCUUCUGAUAUGGGCAGAGCAAUGGAGGUAUGUUGCUGGAAAGCCAAGCCUCCUUUCUCCUAAUGAACCUCCAAACCUCCUGUGCUGCGAGUCAGUGAUGAAAUAACCAUCGUCUGCAUAAAGCUUUUAGUGCUGAAUGUGAAAAAGCUGCCAGCAGGUGGGAUCUGUAAUCAAACAGGAUAUAACAACUUGCACCUGGAUUACAAGG
Non-coding RNA from Meleagris gallopavo (turkey), 235 nucleotides. NCBI's taxonomy places the organism in Eukaryota, Metazoa, Chordata, Aves, Galliformes, Phasianidae. The record is from RefSeq and is a predicted model, not a curated record.